RNAcentral lists this ribosomal RNA (497 nucleotides) under uncultured bacterium. Its description in RNAcentral is "partial 16S ribosomal RNA". It matches the Rfam family "Bacterial small subunit ribosomal RNA", at positions 28 to 507 of the family's 1533-position model. The record is from RNAcentral.
GACGAACGCUGGCGGCGUGCCUAAUACAUACAAGUAGAACGCUGAAGCUUGGUGCUUGCACCGAGCGGAUGAGUUGCGAACGGGUGAGUAACGCGUAGGUAACCUGCCUGGUAGCGGGGGAUAACUAUUGGAAACGAUAGCUAAUACCGCAUAACAGUAGAUAUCGCAUGAUAGCUACUUGAAAGGUGCAAAUGCACCACUACCAGAUGGACCUGCGUUGUAUUAGCUAGUUGGUGAGGUAACGGCUCACCUAGGCAACGAUACAUAGCCGACCUGAGAGGGUGAUCGGCCACACUGGGACUGAGACACGGCCCAGACUCCUACGGGAGGCAGCAGUAGGGAAUCUUCGGCAAUGGACGGAAGUCUGACCGAGCAACGCCGCGUGAGUGAAGAAGGUUUUCGGAUCGUAAAGCUCUGUUGUAAGAGAAGAACGAGUGUGAGAGUGGAAAGUUCACACUGUGACGGUAGCUUACCAGAAAGGGACGGCUAACUACGUG